GGAGAGGGAGAAAUCCCAGAAUGGGGGGUGGGGGGAGUGUCUCUGGUCUGGAACAAAUGGGCAGGCCCCAGGAGGGACAGUGCAGAUCGGGGCAGACACAGUGUCCCAGGAGGCAGGGCCAGUGAUCACGAGGCAUGUGGAGUCAGCCUCUUGGUAUGAGGCUAAGGAAGAGUUUCGGAGUGGAAGAAAAGGAAGUAGAGGAGGGAAGAGUUUGUAAUCAACUCCUGGGAGGAUGAGGACUCAGAGGAGAAGACUUGAUCAAGAUACACAUGGGCAGGAUGGUACAGCCUUGUGCUGGGACCUUUCAUGGCUGUGCUGGAAGCUGCUGGGAAGCCUUCAUUAACUCUCCUGUGACCUGAGGGGUGUAUAGUCCUUCUUCCUCGUUUGCUGUUAAGGAAACCCAGGCCUUGUCUGGAGGAUGACAUGGCUGAAUGAGCACCUCUGGGCCCCCUGACUCACGAGUGAGUUUUGGUGGGGGCAGGGGACUCGAUGGGUGAGACUACUUUGUGGUCUGAGGGUCUGCC
Molecule: long non-coding RNA, 524 nt
Filed under: Cricetulus griseus (Chinese hamster)
Lineage: Eukaryota; Metazoa; Chordata; Mammalia; Rodentia; Cricetidae
Description: lncRNA (ENSCGRG00015002952.2)
Source: RNAcentral